UAUAUUUUUACUCUAUUAUUGCUUUCAACCUUGCUUUUUCUUUACUAAAUACCGAAUUAAGAGAGCGUCCCGACACAUAAGCUACGACGCCUCUUAACUCACCCCCAUUUUGCAGUUUCUAGUUACACACCACAGAAUCCAGCUAGAUGGUCACAGAGCACAGUCCGCCAACUACAAAAACCGAUCUCCCUCCAUUUUCCAAGCCUAAAAAAAUUGACGUCAACGUGGAAUUUGAAGAAAAAUUGAAGAGACAUAUCAUGGUAUGUGAAGAAAAAAGUAGUACCUCUUGAUUACUUCUGCCAUUGAUGAUGUUAAGUAGAAAGGCCCCUAUCUAGUCUGAAGUUUGAAAAUGAUGAUCUAAUAAAUUAAAGAAGAUAAUAAUCUUUUCAUAGGCUUUUAGAGAUACAUAUAUAGGCAAUCCUUAAAUAUCAUAAAUAAUAAGCUAGAAAAUGGUCCCUACCCUUCAAACCAGUUUGUGGUACCUAAUAAUCCAAAUUCAGUCAACAAGACGCUUCAAAUCAACCAAAUUUGGCACCAAAUUUAGACAGCUCAGUUAAGCCUUUAUGAACCACAGAAGUGCAAACAAUCUGUAAUAAUUGAGUAAAUUUGUAUUAUUUACUUUCUGAGUUUUAUUAUUUAUAUUUUUUAAAAGAUUUAUCACUACAAAUUUAACUUUAAAAAAAAAACACUAAAAAUUGGAAUUUUAUGGGAAAUAUUUAAGGCAAUAUUCGUGAUAGUCUUAUGCACCAUUAUUUAAUUAUACAAUAACAUAUUAUUAUCGAUGUAAAACAAAAAAAAUUGAAGAGUUUAAAAAUAAAUAUGAAUAAUUUUAUUUUAAAAAAAUAUUAAUUAUAAUUAUUAAAUAUAAAUAAAUAUAAAAAUAUCCAAAAUUCGAAACUCAAAUCUAAAAACAUCAAAUAUUAAUUAUAAUUAUUGAAUAAUUCUAUUUUAAAAUAAACAAAAUUUUUAAUUAAUAAUUAUAAUUAUUUUUGAAUGUAUACGAUUUCUUUUUUAUUUUAACCAAUAAUUUUAAAUUAAAUAAUGUGUGGGCAAAAAUGUCAGUUUCGAGCAGCGGGAAAGGACCUGCAGAAAUUUCUCUUUUGUUCAUAAAAAUCAACUCCCAUUAAAAGCAACCAUCUUUGAGGUAAAACUAAGUUUUUUGAUGGAUAAACUAAAACUAAUAUUGCCAUAUAUAUAUGUUUAGGUUCAAAAGUUGGGCAAUUCCCAUAUAUUACAACUUAUAACAGAAAAUUUCAGAUAUAAAGUGGAAUUUACAGAACAAAUUUGCAUUUCGCAACCAAAUUUGUUGUCCAUUUUCAUCUUACUGUUGCAUUGCAUCUAAGUUGAGAUUGCAUUGUUGCCGUCGUCGUGGUGUCGCAUCAAGGUUCCGGAGUUGCAGGCUCACUCUUCACAAAAAAGAGACCAGAAGGGCCACCUUUAGGCAAGAGUGCCAACUUAACAGGAGUCACAGCACCUUCUUCAGCAGUUAUUGUACCAGUGUUGAGGUUUAUAUCAGUUUUGGCAUAUCCAGGGCAAACAGAGUUGAUGCAGAAAUCUGGGUACUUGUUUGCCAGAAUCCUUGUAUAGGCAUUCAAUGCUACUUUAGAGACAGUAUAGGCAGAGAUGAAGGUUGGCCAUCCUUUACUUCCGUGUAAACCCUCCUUAAAAUCUUUUAGAUACUCAGUUAUUAAGUCAUUCAGUUUCUCCUCUGUUGUAACACCUGUUAACACUCCUUUAAGCUUUUCACCUUUACCCUGUAACAAAGAAACUUUUCCAUCAACCAUUUUUAAAGCUUAUGAUCUGAAAUGGGAUUUUACAGGAACUCGGGAUUCUACCUUCAGCAUGACUACAGAGGAGGAAACGUUUACGAUCCUUGGCAAGUCGGAUAGUUGCAGCAAUGGAAUAAGUGCUUCGGCAGUUCUUUUAGCGCCGUAGUAGUUUGUUUUUAGGCAUUCUUCGGCUAACUCGU
Molecule: long non-coding RNA, 1969 nt
Filed under: Gossypium barbadense (sea-island cotton)
Lineage: Eukaryota; Viridiplantae; Streptophyta; Magnoliopsida; Malvales; Malvaceae
Description: long non-coding RNA (GBAR_LNC006287)
Source: RNAcentral